Molecule: ribosomal RNA, 447 nt
Filed under: uncultured bacterium
Lineage: Bacteria
Description: bacterial SSU rRNA
Rfam family: Bacterial small subunit ribosomal RNA
Source: RNAcentral
ACCAGACUCCUACGGGAGGCAGCAGUGGGGGAUAUUGCACAAUGGGGGGAACCCUGAUGCAGCGACGCCGCGUGGGUGAAGAAGCGCCUCGGCGCGUAAAGCCCUGUCAGCAGGGAAGAAAAUGACGGUACCUGAAGAAGAAGCCCCGGCUAACUACGUGCCGGCAGCCGCGGUAAUACGUAGGGGGCAAGCGUUAUCCGGAUUUACUGGGUGUAAAGGGGGCGCAGACGGCGAUGCAAGCCAGGAGUGAAAGCCCGGGGCCCAACCCCGGGACUGCUCUUGGAACUGCGUGGCUGGAGUGCAGGAGGGGCAGGCGGAAUUCCUGGUGUAGCGGUGAAAUGCGUAGAUAUCAGGAGGAACACCGGUGGCGAAGGCGGCCUGCUGGACUGCAACUGACGUUGAGGCCCGAAAGCGUGGGGAGCAAACAGGAUUAGAUACCCCCGUACU